CCUACGGGGGGCUGCAGUGGGGAAUAUUGGGCAAUGGACGCAAGUCUGACCCAGCAACGCCGCGUGAGGGAAGAAGGCUUUCGGGUUGUAAACUUCUUUUAAGGGGGAAGAGCAGAAGACGGUACCCCUUGAAUAAGCCACGGCUAACUACGUGCCAGCAGCCGCGGUAAUACGUAGGUGGCAAGCGUUGUCCGGAUUUACUGGGUGUAAAGGGCGUGCAGCCGGAGUGACAAGUCAGAUGUGAAAGCCACGGGCUCAACCCGUGAACUGCAUUUGAAACUUUUUGCCUAGAGUGUCGGAGAGGUAAGCGGAAUUCCUAGUGUAGCGGUGAAAUGCGUAGAUAUUAGGAAGAACACCAGUGGCGAAGGCGGAUUACUGGACGAUAACUGACGGUGAGGCGCGAAAGCGUGGGGAGCAAACAGGAUUAGAUACCCCAGUAGUC
RNAcentral lists this ribosomal RNA (442 nucleotides) under uncultured bacterium. Its description in RNAcentral is "partial 16S ribosomal RNA". It matches the Rfam family "Bacterial small subunit ribosomal RNA", at positions 338 to 795 of the family's 1533-position model. The record is from RNAcentral.